UACGGAGGGGGCAAGCGUUAUUCGGAAUUAUUGGGCGUAAAGGGCAGGUAGGCGGCUUCGUGUGUCCCUUGUGAAAGCCCUCGGCUCAACUGAGGAAUUGCAAAGGAAACUACGGAGCUUGAGUCCGGGAGAGGAGAGUGGAAUUCCCAGUGUAGCGGUGAAAUGCGUAGAUAUCAGGAGGAACACCGGUGGCGAAGGCGGGUCUCUGGGCCGAUACUGACGCUGAGGAGCGAAAGCGUGGGGAGCGAACAGG
RNAcentral lists this ribosomal RNA (253 nucleotides) under uncultured bacterium. RNAcentral describes it as "partial 16S ribosomal RNA". It matches the Rfam family "Bacterial small subunit ribosomal RNA", at positions 524 to 776 of the family's 1533-position model. The record is from RNAcentral.